This 130-nucleotide ribosomal RNA is filed under the name Cyphellophora gamsii. RNAcentral describes it as "partial large subunit ribosomal RNA". It matches the Rfam family "Eukaryotic large subunit ribosomal RNA", at positions 99 to 228 of the family's 3401-position model. The record is from RNAcentral. Lineage: Eukaryota; Fungi; Ascomycota; Eurotiomycetes; Chaetothyriales; Cyphellophoraceae.
CGGCAACAGCUCAAAUUUGAAAUCUGGCCUCUUUGGGGUCCGAGUUGUAAUUUGGAGAGGAUGUUUCGGGUACGGUCCGGGCUUAAAUUUCUUGGAACAGAAUGUCACAGAGGGUGAGAGCCCCGUCUGG